This 530-nucleotide long non-coding RNA is filed under the name Ananas comosus (pineapple). RNAcentral's name for it is "long non-coding RNA (ACOM_LNC031772)". Lineage: Eukaryota; Viridiplantae; Streptophyta; Magnoliopsida; Poales; Bromeliaceae. The record is from RNAcentral.
AUAUAUAUAUAUAUAGUGUGAGGCUAUUAUGCUUUUGGAAGCACGGAGCCUUCCGUACUUUCAGGUCGUUUUCGAUGCUGCGACUUUCGAAUCGUCGAUCGGCUCUAUUAAACUUGAUCUAAAGUAUUUGAAGUACCUAGAAAAUAAAAUUUAUGAUUUUUCGAUGUCAUUUGUCUCGUGAUCGAAGGGGCUCAAAAUCAAUAAUUCUAAUGGCCAUAGUGAGCCGUUUGCAAGUUUAAUGGUAUAGAAAUAACAAAAACACGUGAAAUUUUGAUAGAAAAUUUUUUAUACUAUAUAAAACAAGAUCAAUAUUUUUGAUCUAAAAUUUUAAUGUCAUAUUAUCACGUUUUGUAUGAUUUUUAUUUUUAGCCGUUGAUUUUAAGCCCCUUCGGUCACUAGGCAAAUAAUAUCGAAAAAUCGCAUAAUUUAUUUUUUAGGUACUUCAAAUCUCUAGAUCAAGUUUAACGGAGCCGAUCGACGAUUCGAAAGUCGCAACAUGAUAGAAAAAUGUAAAAUAAAUGUAAAACUGA